Long non-coding RNA from Pan troglodytes (chimpanzee), 1902 nucleotides. RefSeq lists it as uncharacterized. The transcript has 2 exons. NCBI's taxonomy places the organism in Eukaryota, Metazoa, Chordata, Mammalia, Primates, Hominidae. The record is from RefSeq and is a predicted model, not a curated record.
GGAAUCCAGAAUCACGCUUCAGUUGGCCUAAGUGUGACUCCUGUGUGGAUGGGACUAUCCGCCUCGCGCUCUGUUGCAGGGCUCAACGUGGGGAUAUGUCAUCUGUGAACCAUGUGGAUGAAAAACAGACAACCAGCCCUCCUCUGUGUGGAGUCUCUCGCUGGACCUGGAACUCAGGGAUCCUAGGCAGGUCAGCUGGAAGGGAAGACACGUCUCUCCAUACCAAGCCUGAGGUUCACCGCGAAAGAGAGGCCGCCGCUCUGCCCCCACCCCGCCCCAACCCCGCCCAAACCUGCUCCUCCAGCAGAGCCCAGUGUUCAUCCUGGCUGAGGAGUGGUUCCAGCAAAGCGGGCUCUUCCACGUCCUUCAGCUCCCCCAGUGGCGCCGGAUCUAGGAAAUGUUGUGCCUUUUGCUGAAACUCUGGGGUUGACAGGAGCUCAUCUAACAGGCUGGAGGUGAGUGCAGACGAGCUCCUCGGCUCCUGGAGCGGUUGGGAGGCGCCUGGAUGGCUGGCAUCUGUGCUUGCCGCGGAGGCCUCGGGUCGCGAUCUCCGGAGGUGGAGGUGCCCCGUCUUCGGGUUCCCACGUCACCCUGGCGACCUGGGGCUCCAGCCCCACCACGGAUUCUGGUGGGACGUGGGUGGCACAAGCACACCUUGCCCCUGUGACUCAGCUUGAGGGGGCCCAAAAUGAGCACGCGCCCAGGAGGCCCUCGCGCAGCGGUUUCUGGUCUUCCUGUCAUUUGUUGGGGUGCGGAGGCCACCAGGGAGUCUGAGGAUGGGACAGCCCCAGUUCCGGAGGAACCAGGGCAGGGAACACAAAGCCCCACAUGCUCGGGCAGGUUGGGAGAGUCCUUCUGCCUGCGCAGCCUGGCUGGGCUGGAGCAGGGGGAUGGCCCUUGCUGCCUGGCUCACGAAAUCCCCCUGUGGGAGAGCCCCAGGCGCGCAGGGCAUGUGCGGUGUCGGAAGCGCCGUUCCCCAUGCCCUGUUGUGGGUGAACUCGAUAGAGGAGGGAGGAGGGUGACACCCACCGGUGGUGCCAAUUAGUAACCACAGUGGCCUCAAAGAACUCAAAUGAAAGGAAGACUUUCACGUCUUUCACUUGAAGUCCAGAGCUAGAAAUGAUUAAGCUUAAUGAAGAUGUAGAAUUUUCAUAGCUAGAGAGAAGUCAAUGCUUGGCUUCAAAACUUCAAAGGAUGGGCUGACUCUCUUUGAGGACCACUGCAGCUGGUGACUUUUAAGUUACAGCCCAGUGCUCAUUGACCACUCUGAAAAUCUCAGGGCCCUUAAGAAUUAUGCAAAAUCUAUUCUUUCUGUGCUCUAGAAAUGGAACAUCACUGUCUGGGUGACAGCACAUCUGUUAAUGGCAUGGUUUACUGAAUAUUUUAAUCCCAAUAUUGAGACCUACUGCUCAGAAAAAAAAGUGAUUCCUUUAAAAAGAUUGUUGCUUGGCCAGGCAUAGUGGCUCACACCUGUAAUCCCUGCACUUUGGGAGGCCGAGGAUCACCUGAGGUCAGGAGUUCAAGACCAGCCUGGCCAAAAUGAUGAAACCCCAUCUCUAAUAAAAAUACAAAAAAAUUAGCCGGGCAUGGUGGUAAUACCUGUAAUUUCAGCUACUCAGGAGGCUGAGGCAGAAGAAUGGCUUGAACUCUGGAGGCGGAGGUGGCAGUGAGCCGAGACCACACCACUGCACUCCAGCCUGGGGAACAAGAGCGAAACUAUGUCAAAAAAAUAAUAAUAAUAAAAUAAAAUAAAAGGAAAGAAAAGGAAAAAGGAAAAAAAAGAUUGCUGCUUAUUGACAAUUCACCUAGCUACCCAGAAGCUUAGAUGGAGAGGUACUUGGAAAUUAAUGUUAUUUUCAUGGCUGCUAAUACAAUAUUUACCUUCAGCCUGUGGAUCAAGGA